RNAcentral lists this long non-coding RNA (874 nucleotides) under Setaria viridis. Its description in RNAcentral is "long non-coding RNA (SVIR_LNC008772)". Lineage: Eukaryota; Viridiplantae; Streptophyta; Magnoliopsida; Poales; Poaceae. The record is from RNAcentral.
AGAAUUAAUUCUCCACGCAAAAGCUCCCACCUAGACAAAUGUUACUGGGAUUGUAGCCAUCCAAAAGCCCGGACACGGUGGAUAGGAUGAGCUAAGUACUAGGAAAAAAGUUCAACUCCUGCAGUUGCUAGGAAAUUUGUUUGAAUCUAAAUCAAAAUGAACUGUUCAAUUCAAAUUCAAAUUGAAUUUAAAAUUUUGAUUCAAAAUUUCUCUAAAUUUAAUUUAUGUUUAAAAAUUUCAUUGUGGGAGAAUCGAGAAAUCCAAACGUUUUUAGUUUUACAUGUGACCGGCAAGAAUUUUUCUGAACCCGAAAUCAACCAUGUCAAUGCGAAACAGAAACAAAGAUUUAUAUGAACACUACCUAAGGAUAUCUCUAAAAUCUUCCCCCACAAAUCCCUAAUUCCUCUCUCUCUCUCCCCUCGAACUAAACAUUGUGUUCCCAUCUCUCUAUGUGGUCAUCGAGAAUUUUUGUGAAUCAGGAAUCAACCAUGUCAAUGUGAUCAUUGAGAAUUGCUACAAUAGCUAGGAAAUUUAUUUCUCAGGUUUCUACAAGUCAAAAUAAAUAGUUCAACUCAAAAUUCAAUCAAUUAAAAAUUUGAUUCAAAAUUUCUUUAAAAUUUAAUUUAUGCUUACAAAUUCCGUUACAGGAGACCUAGAAAUUUAAGAAAACUUUUCGAUUUUACAUGUGAUGGUUAAUAUUUUUUACGAACCAUACAACGUGAAAAGAAAAUAGAGAUUUAUGCGAAUACUACUCUAAAGAUAUCUCCAGAAGCUUCCAAGAAUCCCUAAUUCCUCCCUCCAACAUCCCGUUCCCCUCCUCCUCCUCCUCUCUCUCUCUUCCCCCGGCUCCCUCUCUCUCCUCCGGAUAUCUUGG